UGGAAAGUGGUGUAGUGGAAACACUUGGAGUUUUGAUCUCCAGGAUAUAGGUUCGAGUCCUUUCUUUCCAUA
Molecule: transfer RNA, 72 nt
Filed under: Aphanotorulus emarginatus
Lineage: Eukaryota; Metazoa; Chordata; Actinopteri; Siluriformes; Loricariidae
Description: tRNA-Gln
Rfam family: tRNA
About the family: Transfer RNA (tRNA) molecules are approximately 80 nucleotides in length.
Source: RNAcentral